GAAAUGCGAUAAGUAAUGUGAAUUGCAGAAUUCAGUGAAUCAUCGAAUCUUUGAACGCACCUUGCGCUCCUUGGUAUUCCGAGGAGCAUGCCUGUUUGAGUGUCAUGAAAACCCUCAACCCUAGAUUGGUUAAUACCUUUCUUUGGUUUGGAUUUGGACGUUUGCCGAUGAUAAGUCGGCUCGUCUUAAAAGUAAUAGCUGGAUCUGUCUCGCGACAUGGUUUGACUUGGCGUAAUAAGUAUUUCGCUAAGGACAUCUUCGGAUGGCCGCGUUGCAGGACUAAAGACCGCUUUCUAAUCCAUUGAUCUUCGGAUUAAUACUCUUGACAUCUGGCCUCAAAUCAGGUAGGACUACCCGCUGAACUUGAGC
Molecule: unclassified non-coding RNA, 369 nt
Filed under: plant metagenome
Description: partial contains 5.8S ribosomal RNA, internal transcribed spacer 2, and large subunit ribosomal RNA
Rfam family: 5.8S ribosomal RNA (bases 1-105)
Source: RNAcentral